Non-coding RNA from Miniopterus natalensis, 5534 nucleotides. NCBI's taxonomy places the organism in Eukaryota, Metazoa, Chordata, Mammalia, Chiroptera, Miniopteridae. The record is from RefSeq and is a predicted model, not a curated record.
GAGGACGAGCUCCUGAGGGUGACCGACCUGGUGGACUACGUCUGCAACAGCGAGCAGUUGUGAGGCCGCCGGGGGAGCUCCGGAGGGGGACCGGCCUGGGGGACUGCGUCUGCGACAGCGAGCGCUGCGAGGGCGCCGGGGGAGAGGAGGAGGAGGAGCUUCUGAGGGCGCCGGGGCUGCGUCUGCGACCGCAGGCGGCUGUGCGGCCGCUCCCUCCGUUUCUCUGCUAAUUUAUUCCACGGUAGCUCUCUCCAGCGGGCCAGUUAUUAAAGUGGUUUUAUUUUUCCUAAACUCCACUACAGAAUGACUUUUUAGAAGAAAAAUUUCAACAAACCUUGAAGUCUUUCUGUGAAGUGACCAGUUUUGAACUUUGAAGAUAAAUAAUUGCUGUAAAUUCCUUUUAAUUUUCUUUUUCCAAGUUCAUGGUCCUUGGUAAUUUCAUUCAUGGAAAAAAAAUUCUUAUUAUAAUAACAACAAAGAUUUGUAUAUUUUUGACUUUAUAUUUCCUGAGCUCUCCUGACUUUGUGAAAAAGGGUGGAUAAGAAUGCAUUCCGAAUCUGCGAGGGCCCAAAACAGAAUUAGGGGUGGGAGAAAGCACUUGUGCUUUAGCUUUUUCAUAUUAAAUAUAUAUUAUAUUUAAACAUUCAUGGCAUAGAUGAUGAUUAACAGACUGUUUAAAAGUUCGAGUCUGUAUUGUUACAGCUUGAGAAUUGUAGAUAACAUCGUACGUAAAUCAUUUAGUAACAGCAUUCAUGAAUCAACUUGUUUACCAUUGGAGAUAACCACACUUAAUAAAGAAGAGACCGAGAAAGUACCAUCGUAAAAAAACUCUUAAGUUUGUUAUAGUGGAGUUUCUUGUUUUAAAAAAAAUCAUCUGAAAAGCAUUUGUACAGUAAAAUGUAAAAUGAAGCUUUGACAACCAGAUUGUGCUAGCAACAAAUUUAAAACAGCUUUAUGCAGUGAUGAUGAGGUGGCCUCCAAUAUACUAUCAUGGAGAGUUAUUAGCGAAAUGCGUGUGCUCUUCUUUAAAGCCCAGGUGGAUUGUAAACUUUGCAGACAGUGUAACUCUUGUGUUCUGGCCACUUAUUUAAAUAUAUGAAAUAUAAUUUUGAAACAAAUACAUCUUAUACAUAACAUGAAGAGAUGCUAAGCUGACAGUGGUAUUUUAGCACAUUUGAAGAAGGGGAAAGGAUUUUCAGGUGAAUUUUAACUGGUCUAUUCUUGCCCUUAGUAUCUACUUCAAAUUGAAGUCUACCAACAAAGCAGUUCCUUUGGGAGAUUUUUAGUUUGAGUUUUAGCAUGUAUGUGUGUGUAUAUGUGUGUGUGUGUAUGUAUGUGUGUUGGAAUUUCUUAUCUGCCUGGAUAUAUUAGCAGGGUUUGAAUGUAGUUUUGGCCUUUGGCCAUUAGACUUAUAUUAAAAUUCAUUAAUAGUCACACGACCAACAUAGAGUUGAUUGAGAAUCACCAAUGUACUUAAUAGGCAUGACAUCCAUUUUAAACAUCUCAACACUUCAAAAAAAAAAAAAGCGCUUUGUUUCAAGAAAAGGGGUUUCUAACUAAAUAUCUAACAUGUAAUUGACACUAAAAUAUGAGCUUUGUCUUAGUUUCUGUUACAGCUGUAAAAUUUCAGGCAGAGCCAUAAAUAACAUUGUACAAAGUGUAGCACUUCUGAUUAAACCUUGCCUGUCAAAUUCUGAAACCUUCAGCCAUUACUUCUGUGAAUACUUUUGCCCUGGGAUUUGGGUUUUUCUGUUUCAGUGUUGUGUCUGUUGCCGGCAAUGGACACACCAUAUCUGCUGCUGGCCCAAGGAACUUCAUUAAUUUUUCUUUCCAAAUUAAGCAUUAUAUGUGCUAGUCAGUGUAUAGUAAAGCACUUCCUCCUUUUUAUUAUUAAAAAGCUGGCAUUAGACUUGCAUUAUAAAUACCUCUCUAGAAACUUUAUACUUCUUUUCCUCCUUUAACAGGUGUUGCCCUUAAAUCUUUUGACCUUGAAAGUUUAUAGCUGUUGUUUUUCAGUUAUUGGUUCUUUUGUUUCACUUAGUUCUGUAGUAUCUGCCCAUUAAUAUUUUUGCUUUGAUUCUAGCAAUGUAUAUGUAUCUGUAUAAAAAAUAAAAUAAUGAAAGCAGCCUAAAAAUAGGGUGCACAAAUAGCAUGUGAUUCCAAGUAAGUUGUGAUUUUUAUUUUGAGACAAUGUUCCACUGGAAGGGAGGGAAGGGCUCACACUCACAGACAGUAGAGCAGAGGACUAUGUAAGGAGCCACAUUCAUUUACAAGCCUCCUUUCUAGCUAGGUUUGUUUCAUUUAUUUGAAAGUGUGUUAACAAUGUUAGCCCUUUUUUAACUAAAACAGGCAGGCAGUAGGAGGAGUCUUACUACUAGUGCAAGGUAAGUGGUUAGAAUGUGCCGGGGCCUAUCCUGCUCCGUCUCCCUCUACUGUUUUAGUCCUGCAGCUGGUAAAGCCACUACUGUGUGGAAACUCCCAUGUACCCUGUUUCUACCUCUGGAUACACCAGCUCCUGCUUCCACCUAUUCUGUUCAGUUAAGCAAGUGAUAAGAAGUAUUAAAUGGAUAGAUUAUUUCUUUUACAGGAUGCCUAAUGUGAAAUAAGGAGUUCUUCUUACUCUUCCGCUACAGAGCAAAAGGUAAUUUUUAUCAUUGUGAAGACUGAGUACUCCAUUUAGCAAAUAUCCCAUUGAUAUGGGUUAUGAUACCACUUUUGCUGCCUGUUACCUACCAAACUUGAAUUGUUGUGAAGUUGAUAGUGAGUGUAUUCCUUCUAACCUUACAUUCUGAUUAAACCAGUUAACUGUUUCAUCUACACAGAGUGUAAUCCAAGCAGCUGAUACUCACAGAUUCUCUUUAUGCAGAUAGAUUUGUUAUGGGUGAUUAAAUGCUGAACAGGUCAAAAGCAGCUCUACCACUUGGCGUUUAGAUUCAGUCCCUGAAAGAGUGUGUUCACUGAAAUAUUAACUCUGAACAUACUUUGAAGACUUUUUUAAAAAUUAGGAAAAAGUGAACUUUUUAUAUCCAAAGACAUAAUUCAGUUUUAGGAACUGGACAGUGCAUAGGAAAGCAGCUGUUCAUCUAGAGUUUAGAAUAUAUUGAGUUUUUGUUGUUGCAGUACUAGCCAUGCAUUUAGGUUCACAAUAGCUGCUAUAAUAUAAUAGAGCCCCUUUAUACUUUAAUUCCCCUUUUUUGAGAUACAGUUUGGAUUCCGGAUAUAAAACUCCACAGUGUAUAGCAAAUGUAGAGAAGAUGUAGUUUAGUACUCAGGCUAUUUAGUUGCAAUUUCUGUAAAGGUUUGAAAACAAGCCAAAUUGUCACAAAGCAGAGGCUUUGAAUUAAAUUAUGUGAAAAAACUUUGACUGAAAAUACACAUUUUGGUUUUGUAAACUCGUGCUGAUGAAAUAGUGUUCAGUGUAAAACAUUUUCCAAUGUUGGUUCCUUAUUAGAGAAUGAUGGCAGAGAUAUUUUCAAGACUCUACCUGAUGUAUUGAGGUUGGGUUUCCUUGACACAUCUUUUCCCAUUUGGUCAAGGUUGCAAAUUCAGAGAAUAAAGAGGAGUGUCAUUUAGAAUAAAUUCAUGUCUACUGAUAAUCUUUUUAUAAGUGUAACCUGCCAAAGAACCAAGGACUUCAAAUGCUGAGGAAGUUGUUAAAAAAAGGUUUUUAAACAAACUAAUUUUAAAAGGAUAUUAUAAACUCCGGUUUUCAUUUUUCAGUUGAUAGGAUCCAUCCCAUAAUAGGAGUUUGAGCAAAGUACAUAUAUUAAAGAAAAAUGUAGAAGUUUACUUGUUAUUUAGAGAUAAAAUGGGGAAAAGUUAGCUAUUUUUAAGCAGGAUGGAUGGAAUUUCCUUUGUCACAAGGAAUGCCUUUUUAGCCCACGUUUGUGGGGCUGAGAUGUUUGCCAUUUGCUAGUUUGUACUACCAUGCAACUGAAAGGAACCUAACGGACCUCCAAGUUUAAUACACAGAAAAGUUGUGAACUCUGUCUUUUACCAACACAAGGAACAGGUCCAUGAUUCAUGGCAUUCGUCACAGCUAUAGAUUUUUUUUUAAUGGAAUAAACAUUACAUAUAUAUAUAUAUAAAUAUGCAUACAUACUUUAGAUGUUAGGAUUAAAGUGAACCCUUUGAAAUCACUGACAUAAAAAUCAGAUAAGUAAUUGUAACUCAUAUGAAAUUAUGAACAUUAUUUAAUAAUGGAAAGUCUAGAGAAAAAUAGUGAAGGUCCUUUUCUUGGUUUGACAUUCUAAAAGUAUGUUCCUGGUUCUCCCCAGAAUCGAGAAUGCCCAAACUGCAAAUCUGCUGCAAUCUACCUGGUUCUCUGUAUACUAUCUGUUACUAAACUUGCGUAGAAUAAAAUUCAUUCCUAUUUCAUCCAGCAUUCCCAGGACGUACCUAUAAACCUGCCUUGGAAGUGGUGAGCUAACUGCUGAUUUUCUUCCUUGUUUUUAUACCAAUCCUGCGCGACGAAGCCUUUUGCUAUCAGUGUAUUUAAUGGGUUAAUUGUGUUAUGUGUACAGUUAGUUUGUUUUCAAAAUAUUUCACUCCAACUUAAAUUAUCAUCUGACAGUUUUUGAGCGAGUGCCAAGAAUUGCUCAGUAACUAACGUAGGUUGAAGAUAGGGUUAUUGCCCAGCCAGCAAGUAGUCGUUAAAAGCCAAGGUGCAGUGUGCUUGGUAUAUAACCACUUUAGAUUUACACAAAACACUUUUUAUUCAUAUAAAUCCUCUCAGAAAUUUAUUAGGAUUCCAUUAGUGGAUUUUUCUCCUCAUUUUGGUUAUGUAAGCUCAGUUUGUUUUUGUUUGUUUUUUGCAUUUUAUAUUUAUACCAUCUUGCUCUGGGAAAUGCUGCAAACCCAAUUCUGGCACAUUGUAGCGAUUUCAGUUAGUGAAGAUGCUACUUUUAUUUUAAUAACUUUAAGAUGUCUAUCCUAUGCAUAAGUUAUAUGAGAGGGCAUAACGAAUUAUUAGAUGUGUAGAGAUUUCUUAAUUAAGCUCUUUAGACAUUUUGAAUAAGAAAAAACAUUUUUAAAGGAACUACGUUCGUGUUUUUUGCCAAACCGGUACAAGCUAGAAAAUGCACUAAGGACUGAGUGACCCGCCUUGUUCAUUUUGCCACUGGAUAAUGUAAGUUAAGAAUGGAAUUGUUAACCCUAACUAUAUGUUUUCUUAACUUUCAUCAGUUUCUAAAGAAAUCUAAUUUAAGUGUUUGGGGUUUUGUUUGACCUGUAUUUAUUGAGUUCUGGUCAUAAACCAGGAGCUGCAUGUCAUGCUUAUGGAUAGCCAGAACACAGUUACUGGGAAACCUAACGGCGCAAGACCUUCUGAAUCGUUUAACUUAUUUUGUAUGUUGCAAAAAAAAAAAAAAAAAAAUUUAUUUUGCUUGAGAGUCACAUUUUUAUAACUGUACAGCUUUUAAGGGAUGAGAAGUGGAAAAAUACCCUAAAAUAGGAUGUAGAUUUUUACAACUGUGUUUAUGCUAGAACAUCUACAGGUGCAUUAUGUAAUUAAACCUAAAAUUGUUUUAAAAAAA